Molecule: non-coding RNA, 74 nt
Organism: Aedes albopictus (Asian tiger mosquito)
Lineage: Eukaryota; Metazoa; Arthropoda; Insecta; Diptera; Culicidae
Source: Rfam
UGUUCUGUGGCUUAGUUGGUUUAAGCGCCGGUCUUGCGAAUACCGAGUCGUGGGUACAAAUCCCAUCAGAACGC